This 254-nucleotide ribosomal RNA is filed under the name uncultured bacterium. RNAcentral describes it as "partial 16S ribosomal RNA". It matches the Rfam family "Bacterial small subunit ribosomal RNA", at positions 524 to 776 of the family's 1533-position model. The record is from RNAcentral.
UACGUAGGGGGCAAGCGUUGUCCGGAUUUAUUGGGCGUAAAGAGCGUGUAGGCGGCCAGGGAGGUCCGUUGUGAAAACUCGAGGCUCAACCUCGAGACGCCGAUGGAAACCCCCUGGCUAGCAGUCCGGAAGAGGAGAAUGGAAUUCCUGGUGUAGCGGUGAAAUGCGCAGAUAUCAGGAAGAACACCCGUGGCUAAGGCGGGUCUCUGGGCCGUAACUGACGCUGAGGAGCGAAAGCGUGGGGAGCGAACAGG